CAGAUUUAUAGGUUAAAGUUAAAUAACAUGCAGAGCAAAGUGCAUUGGGGGUCUUUAUUUAUCAGGGAAUUCCGGUCGUUGUGGAACGGUCCACUUUAAAAUCAGUUUGUCCGUGUUUCUUGUGACUGGAGCACCAGCGCUGUAAGAAAUGGGAGAGAAUAUUACAAUAAUGGUCACGUGAAAGAACCGCUGGGUCUCUGGAUGGCGGAAGAGAGGCGCCCGGACAUUGACGCGCGCGCACUUUUUCUAUGAAAUUUCGUUCAGCGCUACUGAAACUCAUUCGCAUCUUGCAACGGUUAUUUGUGGUGGUUUUCGAGCCGGGUGACACACACCAGCCCUCUUCCUGUUGCUAACGCCACCCAGAGGUGGCGGGUCCCAGCGCGCGGUGGUCUGAUGGGGGGUGGUGAGAUGGAGAGCGAUGGAGGAAGUGGUGUGUGUGUGUGUGUGAAUGAGCCGGCCCACCCUUGAGUGUGCGCGAGCGCGUGAGUGUGUGUAUAUGUGUGUCCGGGUGUGCGCACACGCGCCAGGCGGGCGCGCAGACGACCUGCGCAACAUCCUGCCAGCAGGAACCGGGGAGGCCGACAUCAGCGCGGGUUCGACGAGACGAGCCGUGGUGGUUGAGGAGCCAGCAUGGCGUCGGGCCACACGGUCAUGCACCUGCAGAGGAAGCUGAAGGACCUGCAGCGGCAGCGCUGUAGGAGGGGGGGCAGUCAGGAGUCCCGAGUGCUGGGGAUGGUGGCACCCACCAUGAGGACCCCAGCCCUGGGUUCCCCGUUCAUCGCGUCCGAUGGGACCCUUCACUCCCACAGAGGUCUGCAGCCUCACUCCCCCUUGGCACGAGUAGCAGGGAGGGACCUGGACGACUACCGGCCCGUCCCGCCGGCCACGGCCUCCGACGAUCCCAAAGAUCCAACCGCCGGCACUCGGGAGCUCCCUUCCCCGGCCGCAGAGCUCUUACACCCCGGCAGCGCCCCUCUAAAGCCCCCACCGGAGAUCCCCCAGCCGAGGAGGGCCGUCCCCGCGGCGACCGUCCCGCUGUCUGCUCUGACCUGCGACCCCUGGAGGGCGGACGCCUCUCAGGCUUUUCCGGUAAUGCCUGCCAUAGGCUUCAUCCCUCCCGCCAGGCCUCCGGGGGACGGGCCCUUCUUCCAGAGGGAGAGUGCGAACGCAGCCGAGUUCCCCCCAAACAGCAGAGAGGUCCUGUGGCCGUUACCCAACUACCCCGCCAUAUUUCCCGACGCCCUCACCAUGCCUCCUUCAUACCAGUGUCCCACCUACGUGCCUCACCUUCCGCUCCACCCGUCCUGGUACAGGUUGGACAUCCCACCUUUUCUGUACAAGAAGGCCUCCGUCCACCCGUCUGAGCUGAGUGCGUUCCCUCCCCUUCACCUGUCCCACCCUCUGUCCAGGGACACCUUUGGGCUCAAACCGUCUGGGUUUGCGGUUGGCCCUCACAGCAGCUCCGCAGAAGGAAGAAUAGUCAAGGAAGGGGCGGCGAUCCAUAAGAGCAAGGAGAGCAAGCCUGUUUCCCAUUUGCCCCAGAAUGUGCUAAUGCACACGCCAGAACGUCUGCAGAGGAAGGAGGGGAAGGGGCAGAGAAUGGUGGUAACGGGCAGGACCCCCAGUCGAGAUGGGGGCAAGCCAGACAAGAACCGGAUGGUUGCCGUGGAAACGCUUCCUAUCGCCAACUCCUGUUUCAAUAGGCAUAGAAGGGGAUUUUCCAGUUCAGCUCCCUCAGGGCCAGAUGUUCAAGACUUGGGUCAAAAUCCGGAGUGUCAUUUGUGGCCGUGGGUGUCUUUGCAACACACGAAAAAAGCGGCCAGGUCUAAUGGGUUGCUGGUUCCAGGAAGACCUCAGCAUCUGACCAAAGAGGGUCAACUUUCCCAUGUUUUGCCUCCAGUCAAGACCAAGCUGAAGGAUGGUCUCAACAGGAGAGAUGGAGAGAAAGGUUUGGCACAAGUGGAUUCUGGGAGCUACCUGAGACAUCUACUAACAGAACCACGGGAUUCUCUGAAGGCCUUAGACCUCAGUCCAAAGAUCCAGCGAGGUAAAUAUAGGGAUGAGCACAAGGCCACACAGCCGUCCCCCAGCAGAGCUCGAGAUGAGAUCCACCAAAAGGGGGAGAGUGUCUCUUCACGUGGGCAACAAGAAGACUGUUCACCAGCGCCGGCAGAAAAUGAGCAGAAUGAUACACAAGGUCAAAGGUCAGCAAGAUCCAGCUCCAUGCCCAACCUGUUGUUAACUCACAGUCCGCACAGCGAACAUGAAAGACUGAAGGGUUUCGGUGGAAGAGGCAUCAGCACAAAAGAGGAGCUUCAGAAGAAAGAGGUUCACUUGAAAAGGGGAUCUCCUCGGGGUGGAGCAAAUCUGAACCUCAGAGUGCCUGGAAAUGGACACCUAGGCGCUGGGGGGCUGACCUGCACCAAAGGUGCCAAUGAAACAAAUCCAAGCAAAAGGGCACUUGAACCUCCUGCGACAAAAAGUGAAGAAUCAGCUCAGGAAUCUUCCCCAGCGAAGACCAGUAGACUGGGUCACUGUGAAGCCCCAGCAAACUCUUCUUCAUGUACAAUAAGUGGCAGCCAGGAAAGUUCAUGCUCAGCUCAUUGUGAGUGCUCAUCCUUGCAGGUGGGGGGUGAGAAGACCCAAGAGAAUGCGAAAAGAAGACUUUGUGGAAAUACCACGAGCCAGGGGGGGUCGGCAGAACGUUCCCCAGGCGGCUUCCCAAAUCAGUGCUGGGAGGAGCCCGUCCAAGAACAUGAUGGUUACCAGGACCACGCAGAUGGGACGCAUGGUGUUCACGGUCAGGUGGGAGGUUUCAGCAUUUUGGACCUGACCACAUCCAGCUUGUCCAGCGAUGAGGAGACAGAGGAGAAGCCUGGCUGGCAGGGGGUGGAAGGUGUACUGGAGAUGUACAAGUCCUACUUAGAAGAGACCACAUUUGAAGAGAAGAUACUUCAAGAGCAGCUCAGACUUUCGAAAGAGAAAAACAACGAGCUCAGUCGGGUGGCCAAAAAUCUGAAGGCGCAGAUCCAGGUGGGUUCGAGGAGAUCUUGUGCUUCCCUUGAAGGGAAUAAUGUGGUAACGCGGGGCCUCUGAAAGCAGAAGAUCUCUCUCGGUAAACCUGCACAGUAAAACAUCACUUCUAAAAACAUGUAUUUUAUAAAGACUCUUCUAAUAUGUUGGAGGGUGCAGUGGGUUAGACUGGGUCCUGCUCUCCGCUGGGUCUUGGGUUUGAGUCCCGCUUGGAGUGCCUUGCGACGGACUGGCAUCCCAUCCUGGGUGUGUCCCCUCCCCCUCCAGGCUUACACCCUGUGUUGCUGGGAUAGGGUCUGGCUCCCCACGACCCUGUAUGGGACAAGUGGUUACUGACUGUCUGUCAUCAUCUUAGAUGGAUUAUUGUUCCACAUUACUACUGUGUGUGAAUAAUAAUUUUUGAACAACCCUUCAACCGUGACGGCUACAUUUCCAGUUUCAGUCAACAAUGUUCCUUAGUAAAAAUAAGUUAUAAUAAAAGAAUAAGACUCAUAAAUGCUAUGCUAUCA
Scleropages formosus (Asian bonytongue) is the source of this 3542-nucleotide long non-coding RNA. NCBI's taxonomy places the organism in Eukaryota, Metazoa, Chordata, Actinopteri, Osteoglossiformes, Osteoglossidae. The record is from Ensembl.